RNAcentral lists this ribosomal RNA (542 nucleotides) under uncultured bacterium. RNAcentral's name for it is "bacterial SSU rRNA". It matches the Rfam family "Bacterial small subunit ribosomal RNA", at positions 356 to 896 of the family's 1533-position model. The record is from RNAcentral.
GAGGAAUAUUGGUCAAUGGGCGAGAGCCUGAACCAGCCAAGUAGCGUGCAGGAUGACGGCCCUAUGGGUUGUAAACUGCUUUUAUGUGGGGAUAAAGUGAGCUACGUGUAGUUUAUUGCAGGUACCACAUGAAUAAGGACCGGCUAAUUCCGUGCCAGCAGCCGCGGUAAUACGGAAGGUCCAGGCGUUAUCCGGAUUUAUUGGGUUUAAAGGGAGCGUAGGCCGUGGAUUAAGCGUGUUGUGAAAUGUAGACGCUCAACGUCUGAAUUGCAGCGCGAACUGGUUCACUUGAGUAUGCGCAACGUAGGCGGAAUUCGUCGUGUAGCGGUGAAAUGCUUAGAUAUGACGAAGAACUCCGAUUGCGAAGGCAGCUUACGGGAGCACAACUGACGCUGAAGCUCGAAGGUGCGGGUAUCAAACAGGAUUAGAUACCCUGGUAGUCCGCACAGUAAACGAUGGAUGCCCGUUGUUAGUUCACUUAUGAAUUAGCGACCAAGCGAAAGCAUUAAGCAUCCCACCUGGGGAGUACGCCGGCAACGGUG